UUCCUGAUGGUCCACACCUGUUGCACUAAAGCAUUAAUUAAAUGUAGAUGCUCUGGAGGCAACUUCCCAGGCAUGCGCAUUAAGAGACAAAAUGGCAGAGUAUGAGCUUCCGGGGGCACGCCACCGGAAGAGGGAAGAAAGCCUCAGAUAGGCAUGCGUACACCUCCCAAGGGAAAGGAGGGCUCUGUGCAUGCAGGCAGCCCACCCUAAGGGAAGAAUCAUGGGAAAGGGGCCAGUCUAUAAAGUUCUAGGGUCAAGGUUAAAAGUUGCACUUGACCUCGGUGCCUGCUUGAGUCUCUUCCAAGCGCACUUUCUUUUCUCUCCUGUUCUAAAGUCCUUUUUUUUUUUUUUUUUUUGGUGUGUGUGACGGAGUUACUCUCUUGUUGCCCAGGCUGGAUUGUAAUGGUGCAAUCUCGGCUCACUGCAACUCCACCUCCCACGUGCAAAUGAUUCUCCUGCCUCAGCUUCCCGAUUAACUGGGAUUACAGGCACUCGCCACCACACGUAGCUAGUUUUUGUAUUUUUUCAGUAGAGACGGGGUUUCACCAUGUUGGCCAGGCCGGUUUCACACUCCUGACCUUAGGCGAUCCACCUGACUCGGCCUCCCAAAGUGCUGGGAUUACAGGCGUGAGCCACUGCACCUGGCCUCUAAAGUAUUUUAAAGUAAACUUCCACUCCUGCUUUGAAACUUGCCUCAGUCUCUUUUUCUGUCUUGUGCCCCUCAGUUGACUUCUUUCUUCUGAGGAGGCAAGAAUUGAGGUUGCGGCAGACCUGUACGGAUUCGCCGCGGGGAACUUGGAUACCUGCCACUGGUCACACUGUCUGGCACACGGCGCAUGAUGAAGGAGCUCACCGGCCUCACCCAAGCUCGCAGCAUUGUGCCAGGAAAGGAUGUUCUCGGCUCCGGCCUCUUUCCUCCUCUCCUGGGGACAGAACAUGGAUCCUGGAAGGCAUUGAGGACCCUGUGCUCAGCCCCUGCCCAUCCCUUCCACCACUUAUCUGUCCUGUAGGCACACUGACGCGGCUUUCACAAAAUGGGAGGCUCUGAGAGGGAACAUCUCCCUGGAUCCCCUCUCUUCCAAUGGACCUGUGCUAUGGUCUGAAAGUUUGUGUCUCCUGGAAAUUCAUAUAUUGAGAACUAACCCCAAGGCAAUGGUAUGAGGAGGUGGGGCCCUGGAUAGGUGAUGACGUCAUGAGGGAUCCACCCUCCUGAGUGGGAUUUGUGUCAUUAUAAUAGAGGCCCCAGAGGCUGCCUUGUCCUUUCCACCUCAUGGGACACAGCAAGAAGGAGCCGUCUGUGAACCAGGAAGCAGGCCCUCACCAAACCUGCUGCCAUCUUGAUUUUGGACUUCCAGCUUCCAGAGCUGUAAUAAAGAAA
This 1378-nucleotide long non-coding RNA is filed under the name Pan paniscus (pygmy chimpanzee). RNAcentral's name for it is "lncRNA (ENSPPAG00000045224.1)". The record is from RNAcentral. Lineage: Eukaryota; Metazoa; Chordata; Mammalia; Primates; Hominidae.